UACAGAGGCCUCGAGCGUUAGGCGGAAUCACUGGGCUUAAAGCGUGUGUAGGCGGACUUCUAAGUACCUUGUGAAAGCCCACGGCUUACCCGUGGAACGGCUGGGUAUACUGGUUGUCUUGAGCCACUUAGGGGCUACCGGAACAAAUGGUGGAGCGGUGAAAUGCGUAGAUAUCAUUUGGAACGCCAAUGGUGAAAACAGGUAGCUGGGAGUGUGCUGACGCUGAGACACGAAAGCCAGGGGAGCGAACGGG
RNAcentral lists this ribosomal RNA (253 nucleotides) under uncultured bacterium. RNAcentral's name for it is "partial 16S ribosomal RNA". It matches the Rfam family "Bacterial small subunit ribosomal RNA", at positions 524 to 776 of the family's 1533-position model. The record is from RNAcentral.